Molecule: ribosomal RNA, 339 nt
Filed under: Triticum aestivum (bread wheat)
Lineage: Eukaryota; Viridiplantae; Streptophyta; Magnoliopsida; Poales; Poaceae
Description: partial small subunit ribosomal RNA
Source: RNAcentral
AUGAUACCCAGGUGUGUCAAAUCAAUCCUAGAUUUUAAGGUAUUUUUCGUCUUGCCUUCAAUAUUAAGAAGUGUGCCGAUAAUGCUGUCACAUAUAUUUUUCUCGAUGUGCAUCACAUCAAGAUUAUGCCGCAGAUCCAAAUCUUUCCAAUACUCCAAGUCCCACAAAGUGGACCUGCGUGUAAACAAUAAUCUCUCUUCUGCCCUGCCACGCUUCCUUUUCCCGCUACCAUUACCAGGAUGGUUUCCUGGUGUAAUAUGCCUGACCUUCUCUAAUUCCACUUGCAACUCAUCGGCGGUGAGCCUCUUGGCGCAUCACGGUUUUCAUGCUUUGCAUUGA